AGAGUUUGAUCCUGGCUCAGGAUGAACGCUAGCGACAGGCCUAACACAUGCAAGUCGAGGGGCAUCGGGGCGAGGAGCAAUCCUUGCCGCCGGCGACCGGCGCACGGGUGAGUAACGCGUAUGCGACCUGCCCGUUGCAGGGGGAUAAUCGGGAGAAAUCCCGUCUAAUACCGCGUAAUGCCGCGGGGCUGCAUGGCCCUGCGGCCAAAGGAAGCGAUUCCGGCAACGGAUGGGCAUGCGUGACAUUAGCUAGUUGGCGGGGCAACGGCCCACCAAGGCGACGAUGUCUAGGGGUUCUGAGAGGAAGGUCCCCCACACUGGUACUGAGACACGGACCAGACUCCUACGGGAGGCAGCAGUGAGGAAUAUUGGUCAAUGGGCGCGAGCCUGAACCAGCCAAGUCGCGUGAGGGAUGACGGCCCUACGGGUUGUAAACCUCUUUUGUCGGGGAGCAAAUUCCGCCACGCGUGGCGGGGUCGAGAGUACCCGAAGAAAAACAUCGGCUAACUCCGUGCCAGCAGCCGCGGUAAUAC
Molecule: ribosomal RNA, 533 nt
Filed under: uncultured bacterium
Lineage: Bacteria
Description: bacterial SSU rRNA
Rfam family: Bacterial small subunit ribosomal RNA
Source: RNAcentral